AUACGGAGGGUGCGAGCGUUAAUCGGAAUUACUGGGCGUAAAGCGUACGUAGGCGGUUGGUUAAGUUAGAUGUGAAAGCCCCGGGCUUAACCUGGGAACUGCAUUUAAAACUGACGAACUAGAGUUGAGUAGAGGGGAGUGGAAUUUCAGGUGUAGCGGUGAAAUGCGUAGAGAUCUGAAGGAACACCAGUGGCGAAGGCGACUCCCUGGACUCGAACUGACGCUGAGGUACGAAAGCGUGGGUAGCAAACGGGAUUAGAUACCCGAGUAGUCC
RNAcentral lists this ribosomal RNA (274 nucleotides) under uncultured bacterium. Its description in RNAcentral is "partial 16S ribosomal RNA". It matches the Rfam family "Bacterial small subunit ribosomal RNA", at positions 523 to 796 of the family's 1533-position model. The record is from RNAcentral.